This 419-nucleotide ribosomal RNA is filed under the name uncultured bacterium. RNAcentral describes it as "bacterial SSU rRNA". It matches the Rfam family "Bacterial small subunit ribosomal RNA", at positions 355 to 774 of the family's 1533-position model. The record is from RNAcentral.
UGAGGAAUAUUGCACAAUGGGCGCAAGCCUGAUGCAGCGACGCCGCGUGUGGGAUGAAGGGGCUACGCCUCGUAAACCACUGUAGCCCGGGACGAAAAACGCCUUAGAGGCGUUAGACGGUACCGGGAAAGUAAGGGUCGGCUAACUACGUGCCAGCAGCCGCGGUAAUACGUAGGACCCAAGCGUUGUCCGGAUUUACUGGGUGUAAAGGGUGCGCAGGCGGAGGGGUAAGGCAGGGUUGAAAGUCUGCAGCUUAACUGUAGAAUUGUCUUUGAUACUGCUCAUCUUGAGUGUGGGAGAGGUGGAUGGAAUUCCAGGUGGAGCAGUGAAAUGCGUAGAUAUCUGGAAGAACACCAGUGGCGAAGGCGGUCAACUGGCCCAUAACUGACGCUCAUGCACGAAAGCGUGGGGAGCAAACA